RNAcentral lists this ribosomal RNA (1037 nucleotides) under uncultured gamma proteobacterium HF0070_25G02. RNAcentral describes it as "bacterial LSU rRNA". The record is from RNAcentral. Lineage: Bacteria; Pseudomonadati; Pseudomonadota; Gammaproteobacteria.
UUUACCUGAAUUCAUAGGGUAAAGAGGCAAACGCAGAGAACUGAAACAUCUAAGUAACUGCAGGAAAAGAAAUCAACCGAGAUUCUGUUAGUAGCGGCGAGCGAAAGCGGAACAGCCCUUAAGCUUUAAUUGGAUUAGAAAAACGAUCUGGAAAGUUCGGCCAUAGUGGGUGAUAGCCCCGUAUUCAAAAAUCUAAUUUGAGUGAAAUCGAGUAGGUCGGGACACGAGAAAUCUUGACUGAACAUGGGGGGACCAUCCUCCAAGGCUAAAUACUCCUAGCUGACCGAUAGUGAACCAGUACCGUGAGGGAAAGGCGAAAAGAACCCCGGAGAGGGGAGUGAAAUAGAACCUGAAAUCAUAUGCAUACAAGCUGUCGGAGCCUCAAGAAGUUCUUCGGAACUUCAGGGUGACGGCGUACCUUUUGUAUAAUGGGUCAGCGAGUUACUGUCUGUGGCAAGCUUAACUUUAUGAGGUAGGCGUAGGGAAACCGAGUCUUAAUAGGGCGUUUAGUCGCAGGGAGUAGACCCGAAACCGGGCGAUCUAUCCAUGGCCAGGGUGAAGGUAAGGUAACACUUMCUGGAGGCCCGAACCCACUUAUGUUGAAAAAUGAGGGGAUSASCUGUGGAUSGGAGUGAAAAGGCUAAUCAAGCUCGGAGAUAUCUGGUUCUCCUCGACAGCUAUUUAGGUAGCGCCUCGUGUGUCACUCUUGGGGGUAGAGCACUGUCUCGGCUAGGGGGUCAUCCCGACUUACCAAACCGACGCAAACUCCAAAUACCAAGAAGUGUUAGCACGGGAGACAGACUGCGGGUGCUAACGUCCGUAGUCGAAAGGGAAACAACCCAGACCGCCAGCUAAGGUCCCAAAUUAUGAUUAAGUGGGAAACGAUGUGGGAAGGCUUAAACAGCUAGGAGGUUGGCUUAGAAGCAGCCAUCCUUUAAAGAUAGCGUAACAGCUCACUAGUCGAGUCGGCCCGCGCGGAAGAUAUAACGGGGCCUAAAUCAUAAACCGAAGCUGCCGGAUAGAUAUUUAUAUCUAUG